GCGGUUGGACAGUGUGGCGUGGUUGCGAUGGCGGAUCGGAAUCCUGGAUUUUUGGCACCGAAAAUAGUCGCGCGGGCGCGCGGUGGAGCCGCGAGAGAAGCGGCCGCGCAGUGCGUGUCGCUCCGCCGUGUGAACAGCUCGCUCGUGAGGCCAGUAACUGGCGUAUUUUUUGACCGGACCGUCGUAGACACAAAGCCGCCACCAUGGACGCGAUCAAGAAGAAGAUGCAGGCGAUGAAGCUGGAGAAGGACAAUGCCAUGGACAAGGCAGAUACCUGCGAACAACAGGCCAGGGACGCUAAUCUCCGCGCCGAAAAGGUCAACGAGGAAGUCCGUGAGCUCCAGAAGAAGCUCGCACAAGUGGAAGAGGACCUCACAGUCAACAAGAACAAGCUGGAACAGGCCAACAAAGACCUAGAGGAGAAGGAGAAGCUCCUGGCCACCACCGAGGCGGAGGUCGCCGCCCUCAACAGGAAGGUGCAGCAGAUUGAGGAGGACCUGGAGAAGUCAGAGGAGAGGUCCGGCACAGCCCAGCAGAAACUGCUCGAAGCGCAACAGUCCGCUGACGAGAACAACCGUAUGUGCAAAGUAUUAGAGAACAGAGCACAACAAGACGAGGAACGCAUGGACCAACUCACCAACCAGCUGAAGGAAGCCCGUCUACUGGCUGAGGACGCCGACGGCAAGUCUGAUGAGGUAUCACGUAAGCUGGCCUUCGUUGAAGACGAGCUGGAGGUAGCUGAGGACCGAGUCAAAUCUGGAGACGCCAAGAUCUCAGAACUUGAGGAAGAAUUAAAGGUCGUAGGUAACUCCCUAAAAUCCCUGGAGGUGUCAGAGGAGAAGGCGAACCAGCGUGUUGAGGAGUUCAAGAAGCAGCUGAAGACCCUCACCAGCAAACUGAAGGAGGCCGAAGCCCGCGCCGAGUUCGCGGAGAAGACGGUGAAGAAACUGCAGAAGGAGGUCGACAGGCUCGAAGACUGCUUGUUCAACGAGAAAGAAAAAUACAAGGCCAUAUGCGAUGACCUGGACGGCACAUUCGCUGAGUUGACGGGAUACUAACCCCCUAGCAGCACUUAUUUUAAGACAAAACCGUCCAUAAUUCAAUCCCUUAAAGUCCAUUUUUAGAUCGACAAUUAGCGGCCCCGAAAACACCCGUCCAAUUGCCGAAGAACAUUUAGCAAUGACGGAUUCGAGUUUAAAUAUCGCCUUCUUAUUAACAAACCUAAAGUUUAGGAUUGUCGCGUGUAGACGUUCUAACUUACGUAGCGUUGCGGACAAUUCUUUAAAUACUAACAGCCUUACUACAAAACAAAACCUAGAAUAAAAAUCUUCCCAAGCACAUUAUUGUCUGCCCAUGACGAAAUAGAAACCCCAGGUGUCCAACUAUAAAAUUGGCGGAUAAUAAACCAGUCUACCAGAGCUUUGGUUGUCGAAACACGUACGGACGGAGACGUCCCGGAGAGUAUCUCCGUAUUUUAGACGUGUUUCAAUAGAAUUUCGUUAGGUAUUCAAUUUUGGAUCAAAUUCAGAUUUCGUUAAUGCAAUUUUAUUGUUUUUUUUUUAAAUACAUUUCCUUCGCUCUGGUUUUUGCACUAAUGUAUAAGCAAUGUCAAAAAUUUUGAAAAGUUUUAUAUAUAAGGCUAUAUACAUUUUUACGCCCUGCUUUCUGUGUUGUCACUAACCCGUCUUACGCUUGCUGCUACCGCCGAGGACCAUGCUUGGAAGACGAGCUGGGCAUCAACAAGGAUCGGUACAAGAGCUUGGCUGACGAAAUGGACUCCACCUUCGCUGAGCUGGCCGGCUACUAAACACCGAACCAACCAAACAGACAGACAUACAUUCACACAUCCACACACAGUACAAUACGCACACCAGCGCAGCUACACUCUACAGCGACACAAAUACGUUAGUACACGUGAUGUAAUGAUAUUUAUUAAUAUUUUAUGUAAAUUUAUUUACGAUUUUCAAUAAAAUUAAUUUAUAACAUC
This is an RNA transcript of Plodia interpunctella (Indianmeal moth), 1987 nucleotides long. It is a transcript of the gene named Tropomyosin 2, with no coding region annotated. The record is from RefSeq and is a predicted model, not a curated record. The transcript is spliced from 8 exons. Lineage: Eukaryota; Metazoa; Arthropoda; Insecta; Lepidoptera; Pyralidae.